GACGAACGCUGGCGGCGUGCCUAACACAUGCAAGUCGGACGGAUCAGGGAUGACAGCUUGCUGUAGUUCCUGGUUAGUGGCGGACGGGUGAGUAACGCGUGAGGACCUACCCUGGAGAGGGGGAUAACGGCUGGAAACGGCUGCUAAUACCCCGUAAGCCGGAGGGUGAAAGGGAGCGAUCUGCUCCGGGGCGGCCUUGCGUCCUAUCAGCUAGUUGGUGGGGUAAUGGCCUACCAAGGCGAAGACGGGUAGCCGGCCUGAGAGGGCGACCGGCCACACUGGAACUGAGACACGGUCCAGACUCCUACGGGAGGCAGCAGUGGGGAAUAUUGGGCAAUGGGGGCAACCCUGACCCAGCGACGCCGCGUGAGGGACGAAGUCCUUCGGGAUGUAAACCUCUGUUGUGGGGGAAGAAGCGAGUGACGGUACCUCACGAGGAAGCCCCGGCAAACUACGGCCAGCAGCGCGGUAAUCACGGAGUA
This 482-nucleotide ribosomal RNA is filed under the name uncultured bacterium. Its description in RNAcentral is "bacterial SSU rRNA". It matches the Rfam family "Bacterial small subunit ribosomal RNA", at positions 28 to 532 of the family's 1533-position model. The record is from RNAcentral.